RNAcentral lists this transfer RNA (56 nucleotides) under Bos taurus (domestic cattle). It matches the Rfam family "tRNA", at positions 8 to 63 of the family's 71-position model. From Rfam's summary of the family: Transfer RNA (tRNA) molecules are approximately 80 nucleotides in length. Lineage: Eukaryota; Metazoa; Chordata; Mammalia; Artiodactyla; Bovidae. The record is from Rfam by way of RNAcentral. RNAcentral also lists the same sequence under 2 other names.
UAGCUUGGUUGUAAAGAACCUGCCUGCAAUGCAGGAGACCCAGGUUCAAUUCCUGG